CCUCCAGGGAUUCAUUAGCCUCCUGGAGCUUUUCCCCAGCUAACAAAUUACCGCUAACUGGGGCCGAUGGGGCGUGGCCUGUGGAGCCGGGGUCAAGUCAGGUCAGGUUCACAUCAACUGCCUGAUCGGUGCUGUGGCCUGAGAGCCUCUUGGGCAGAUGCGAGGAAGGCGAGAGCCGUGGAGCCCCCUCUGUCCCCAAACGGGCCAGAUCCCAUCCAGCUUUACAUCUGUUUUGCCUUCUGGAAUGGUCACAGCCCAUCCGAGCGGAUGCACGGGGAGUGUCCUGUCCACAGUUGGAGGAUAACCGAGGCCCCAGGGUUAACAACCUUGCCCAGGCCGCACGGUUCGCAACGGUGGAGCCGGGACUGGGACCACGGAACGGCGGGUCUGGGCCGCCGAUGCCAGAAGGAGGCUCCCCUGCGUCCCCGUAUCCAGCUCAGGUGCUCGCUGCGUCCAGCAGCCUGGCUGGGAGGGGACCCCCGGCAGUGAGGCUUCUCUUCACUCACUCCGGUCUCUGCAGCCCCAGGAAAAGGCUGGAGGGCCUUUGCUGGUGGAGCUGGCUUUGGGCUGGCAGGUCACAUCCUGGACACAGACAAUGGGUCUUACAGCAGAUGACCCCUAGGUCUCCCAGUCCCCACGCACGUAGAGACCUCACACCCACUCUACUGCUCAACUCAUUUCUCUCCCCAACGUGGACCAGAACCAAGGGUCCCAUCACUGUUCCCAAUCCCUUAUGUCCACCACUGCUAUGAUGAACACCCCCAAAACAACACCUUUGAGAAACUG
This is a long non-coding RNA of Neofelis nebulosa (Clouded leopard), 786 nucleotides long. RefSeq lists it as uncharacterized. The record is from RefSeq and is a predicted model, not a curated record. The transcript has 2 exons. NCBI's taxonomy places the organism in Eukaryota, Metazoa, Chordata, Mammalia, Carnivora, Felidae.